UACGUAGGGACCAAGCGUUGUCCGGAAUCAUUGGGCGUAAAGAGCGUGUAGGCGGCCUUUUAAGUCCUGCGUGAAAUCCUGCGGCUCAACCGCAGACGGUCGUGGGAAACUGGAAGGCUAGAGUGCGGGAGAGGAGAGUGGAAUUCCCGGUGUAGCGGUGAAAUGCGCAGAUAUCGGGAAGAACACCCGUGGCGAAGGCGGCUCUCUGGAACGCAACUGACGCUGAGACGCGAAAGCGUGGGGAGCAAACAGG
RNAcentral lists this ribosomal RNA (253 nucleotides) under uncultured bacterium. RNAcentral describes it as "partial 16S ribosomal RNA". It matches the Rfam family "Bacterial small subunit ribosomal RNA", at positions 524 to 776 of the family's 1533-position model. The record is from RNAcentral.